Molecule: long non-coding RNA, 217 nt
Organism: Rhodamnia argentea
Lineage: Eukaryota; Viridiplantae; Streptophyta; Magnoliopsida; Myrtales; Myrtaceae
Exons: 3
Source: RefSeq, a predicted model, not a curated record
UCGGAACAAAAUCAUCAUUUCAUGGGUGAACGAACCGCUGGCGAUACUAAAUGGGAUACCAUAGAUGCCAGAAUUCUUGGACAAAUGUGGAAUUCUAUGGAAUCUCAUGUGGCUGCCUUGGUUACACAUGUCAUUACGGUUAAGGAUUUGUGGGAUUAUUUGAAUGUCCUUACUCUGGAGAAAAUAAUCUAUCAAGGAUCUAUGAAGUUUCUCGGGA